Molecule: unclassified non-coding RNA, 255 nt
Filed under: Cortinarius sp.
Lineage: Eukaryota; Fungi; Basidiomycota; Agaricomycetes; Agaricales; Cortinariaceae
Description: partial internal transcribed spacer region
Rfam family: Eukaryotic small subunit ribosomal RNA (bases 1-46)
Source: RNAcentral
AAGUCGUAACAAGGUUUCCGUAGGUGAACCUGCGGAAGGAUCAUUAUUGAAAUAAACCUGAUGGGUUGUUGCUGGUUCUCUAGGGAGCAUGUGCACACCUUGUCAUCUUUAUAUCUCCACCUGUGCACCUUUUGUAGGCCCUGGAAUAUUUUCCAUGGUCUAUGUUGCUUCUGCAUUUUACCCCAAUGUAUGUUAACAGAAUGUUUGUGCCUUAUGAAAUCUAUACAACUUUCAGCAACGGAUCUCUUGGCUCUC